AUCUAACUUCCGCCAUGGAGGUAAACUUCCAAUGGAGCUAAGGAAGUUUACUAGACCUCUAAUGGACGUCUAUCUGACUUCCAUUAUGGACAUAGUCGUCCCAUGGAUCUAUGGAGGUUUAAUGGACGUCCAUUGAACAUCCACUGGAUGCCAAUUUCUAUGUGGGUCGAUACGUCACAUCCGGCUGUCAGCACACGUCCAGUACCUGCAUGCCAUCUACUUCCACCACGCGUACCAACCUCGCGUGACCAACCUUCGCUCCAAGUGUCGCGAGAUCUAAUUACAUUUUAUCCGUGUCUUACACUACUAUGUCCAAUCGCUUAUGUGCGCAAUCAGGACAGUCUCGGUAAUUAUGUUCCGCGUUAUUUGUCGCGUUACUAUAGUGUCCUACGGGGCACCACGCGUUGUUACGCUGCAUUUGCAUCGGUAUGGAGCUCCGUGUCAGCUUCCGCGUUAUAAAGUGCAAUGACCGGUACCGAGGUGAGUUCUUUUUUCAAUAACUCCAACGUUUUUAUACACGACGUAUCGAAAUUAUAUUCAGCAUCUCUUUUUCAGGAGGUUCUGUAACAACUUCGCUUUAAGUGCGAAGUCUUUGAUAAAUUUGCGAAAGUAGCUCAGCCCGAGGAACUUUCGCAUUUCGUGGUUUUUCGGCUGUUUAAAUUUACCAACCGCUUCAGUAUGCAUCGAGCUCAGAGUAAUCCCUUCGCCCGAAAUUAUGUAUCCAAGGAAUUCAACCUUGUUCCGCAAGAAUUGGCAUUUCGCAUAAUUCAGAUCAAAACGAUACUGUUUUAGAAUAAUCAGAACCUCCUUCAAAAUUCGUAGAUUUUCUUUUAUCGUUUCGAACGGGACGAGUACAUCGUUAAUGUACACUAUACCUUUUUUAAAAUUUCGCCGGCGCUUCAAAGUAUCCGAAGGGCAGGAAGGUGUACUCGAACUGCCCGUCGGGCGAAAAAAAAUACCUCGUGUGGUCGUUAUGCACUCUAAUCUGAUGGAAACUUUCGCGCAAAUCUAACAAAGUAAAAACAGAUUUAUUCGUAAGCCGAGAUAGACACUCCUCUAUUAUCGGAAACGGAAACUUUCUCGAUUCUGGCGUUUAAUGGACGUAAAUCUACGCACAGCCUGGUUAUCCGUUCUUUUUCUUCACCUGUAUUACGCGCGCGCAGUAAGGCAAAACGCUUUCUUUAAUUAUUCCGCGCUUCAGCAAAUCUUCUGUUAUUUCUCUAAUUUUUUUACGUUCGGCGUAAGCAAAUCUGCAGGGCGCGAACGCGUAGAUCGAAUCAUCUUUGAAUCUAACUCUCACUGCGUGCCCGUCGUCUAUCUCCUCUAACUUCAUCGCGCGCACUUCGUACAGUAAUUCCUCUAGCCUCUUCUUAAUUAUUAGAUCGAAAUCUACUUCUAACUCGUUUACUAUCCGGUCGAACUCGUCUUCCGCUUUGUUCGCCACGCACAAGGGUAAAGCGGAGAACAAGUCGACACGAGCAUCUAGUGGCCCCUGUUCGUGGAGCUUAUGCAAAAUCGUAAUUUUCUCAGUUCUAAAGAAGUCGCAUCCUAAAAUUAUAUCGCAUUUAAACGCUUCGUUUUCUAACACAUACAGCUUUAUAUUAUACACAUUAUUACCUAACAAUUACAACGAGAUUCCGGUUCAAAACGCGCCUAUGACCUUCAAAGUGCCGUCCCCCAGUCCUUUCAACUUUUGAUCCGAGGGCUCGAGCGCAUUGCCCUCACAGCACUCCGCGUAGCACCGUGUCUUUACAAAGAACAUCGGACUUCCAGUGUCUACCAGAGCUGUCAACUUACAUUUUUUACUUAAUCUUUACAGCCAGCUGCGUUACUGUGACCAACGGCUCUACCAGCUCCAGCCUCGUUCCUUCUUCGAUGACCGCCGCUGCCACCUCAUCGGCCGCCAUCUUUGCUGUCACGCUCGCCGCCGUCUGGGUAGCCGGGGGUUACUUCCUGGAUGCCUGCUGUCCGCCGCCUCUUUGGUCAUUCGGGCAAUCGGCUAUCCGAUGCCUCUUAUGUUUACACAGAAAGCAGUGUUCCUGCUGUCAAGAGGCCUUCCUCUGAGGUCGACGCGGAUUGGCCUUUCUUUCGUUCCGUCGUCUCAUUCGCAGUUCCCUGUGCCUUCAUCGGGAAGUCUACUCAAGUGCUCGAUGACGGCCUCCACGAGCGCUAUCUUCUCCGAGACCGCCUCAAUACCAUAACUCAGCCUCUCGCUGGAGCUGCUCCACCGUCAUAGCUUCUAGUCGUUCUCGCACGGAACGUGCCUUCGACGCCAUGCUGAAGCUCCAGUGACUUUCUCACAUAUACACACACACUCUGCGAUAUCGCGAUUCCACGUGCCCCUGCCGUUCUCGUCGGACAAGCACCGUCUCUGCAAUUCACUUGUCCGCGCGUCCGGUUUGCGCAGUUCGUUCACGCGUUUCGAUUUCAUGGAGCCCGAUACGCCUGCCCAUUGCUCCGAGCGCGGCGUUCUCCGGUUGUCCUUGCUCCACACACACGCACACACACACACACACACACACACACACACACACACACACACUCACACUACGAAUGGCGCGACGCGCUCUUUUGGCGCGCACGUCUUGAUCCCACUUCUGAACUAAAAGACUAAUUUUAACUGCUCGUUUAGAAGAUUCCGCUGGUGGCCGGAAUCUCCUUCUUUUUCCGCUAUCUAGCCGCAACGUCCCUGUUCUCAGGCGGUCCUGUUUCCUUUUCGGGUUCACCCGUUCCUCCGUUUCACCGGAGCACGCUGCGCACACGUGCCCACCGGUUCAAUCUUUGGAAUUAGUGCGGGGCGGGUUAGACAAAUAACCAAACACCGUCAUUAAAACUACUGCAACUAUAGAUAACUUUAUUUUCAAGUACAAGCUUUGGACUAAAACGGAUAUCACAGCAAACGCGGGACUGCCGCCGAACACCACCACAGUUCAAACGAGAGUGCCGAAAUCUCCGCGCCGCGCGCCGGUCGCUAACCAGAAUUUGUUCGCCCCGCUUCGACGCUUUUGGGGAGAAUUCUCGAACGUUCAGCAGUACGUCAUUUCCGCUCGGAGCUCGCGCCGACUCCGAUAUUCCGGAGUUGACCCAGCUGUUAUAGGGAUUAUGUAUUUCUAUUAUGUUACGCGUCGUCGCGGAAGUCCCCACGAGCUUUCGAGGUAAAGAAAAGGUAGUCGUGGCGGUAAUGAACUUUACUAGGAGUAAACUCAACAAACUUUAUUAAAAGAUAUAUGACGCCGGUUACAUGGCGUGAGUCGAUAACAAGAGCUAAUGGCGGACUGACUCGGCAGAAAAAACUGCCGUCGGAAACGAACUGCUUACAGCGCCACGCUGGCGCGGACAAUACGUAAAACUAGAGUGGAAACUCGCUAGUCGCCACAUACUCUUCUCCGAGGGUGCGUUCUUAAAUUCGCAACGAUGCAGCCUGAUACAUCCAGGUGCGUUCUUAAAUUCGCAAUUAUGCAGCCUGAUACAACCAUUUGCAUAACUUAGCCGUUCUUAAUUUAUGGUUGCGCACACUAAUUGAUAUUUAAGUUAAUCUUAGCCGUUCUUAAAUUCGAGUUGCAAGCAGAACUGCCGAAGUUGCUUGCAAUUUUUAGCAUCCCAGUUUAAGAAACUGCUGAAAGUUAAAGGGUGAAAGCAUAUGCGAUGUAAACUAACCCAGAGUAUUUUAGAUUAAGCGAACAUAACAGUGGCAAAAAAUCGGCAUGUUGAUUAUGAUUUAGACGGAUCUUAUUAUUGCGCAGAUAUUCAAUAGUAAAUAUAAAGUAAUAAUUAAGGAAUUAUGUCUAUUAACAAUUAUAAAUAGUAUUAAUAUAUGUGUAAUAAUAACAAUAAUAAUAAUAAAAGUAAUAAUAACAGUAAUAUAAUUAUAUGUAUAGUAAUUUACAUUUAGUAAAUGUAUUAUCCUAUAUAGUAGCAAAAAUAUGUUGACAAUGAGCUCAUAUUGGAUAAACAUUACUUAUAUAUUGGGACAGCAUUGCCCAAUGUUUUUUUCAAUAUUUCCGAAAGUAACGCUAAAAUUGGUUAUAAAAUAUUGAUUCCAAAUUAGAAUUCAAUUAAUGUCCAAUAUGAAAAAUUAAUUCAACAUUGACCAAGCGUUAAACCAAUAUUGAACUAAUUGCUGCUUAAAAACUGGCUAAAUAAGAUGAAGCGUCCACUUUAUAAUAUUGAAUAUUAUUGGGAAUAUUGUCUUUACUUUAAUUCUCAAUAUUGCGUCAAUGUUUUUGCUACUAGAAUAAAUGUUUAUUAAAUAUAAUUGAAACAUUACAAUAAUUGUUGUAAAUCCUUUUUAAUUUAUAAAUUAAAUCCUAUUGCUCCUAUUUUAGCAAUAUCCAUCUAUUUAUAUAUAGAUGGAUAUUGCUAAAAUAGGAGCAAUAGGAGGUUUUCUCACAAUAGCUACAUCUCAAUUAUUUUUUGAAGAGUCUUCAUCUUCUAAUGAAUACGAGGAUGUUAUGCCAUUAUUUGUAAAUAUUAUUUAGCUUUAUUAUUUAAAAUUAUAAUCAAUAAACAAAUAAUAAUAACAACAUUAGUAGUAACAAUAAUAAUAAUCCUUUAUAGUCAAUAUUUAAUACAAGUUUCUUAAAUUUUUAGUUACAAAAAAGAAACGUAUUAAAAGUACUUAAUUUUGAUAAACUAUGUCUUUCCAUGGACGAUCUUACUUUUCGAUCACAUUUUCGAUUAACCAAAAAAA
This 4690-nucleotide unclassified non-coding RNA is filed under the name Monomorium pharaonis (pharaoh ant). RNAcentral's name for it is "uncharacterized LOC118647643, transcript variant X4". The record is from RNAcentral. Lineage: Eukaryota; Metazoa; Arthropoda; Insecta; Hymenoptera; Formicidae.